RNAcentral lists this ribosomal RNA (394 nucleotides) under uncultured bacterium. Its description in RNAcentral is "bacterial SSU rRNA". It matches the Rfam family "Bacterial small subunit ribosomal RNA", at positions 28 to 416 of the family's 1533-position model. The record is from RNAcentral.
GACGAACGCUGGCGGCGUGCUUAACACGUGCAAGUGGAGCGACGAACCAGGCUUCGGCCUGGGGCAGAGCCGCGAACGGGUGAGUAACACGUGGGUAACCUGCCUCGAUGACCGGGACAACCCGGGGAAACCCGGGCUAAUACCGGAUGUGCUCUCCUCAUAUAAGUGAGGAGUGAAAAGGAAGCUUCGGCCUCCGCAUCGAGAUGGGCCCGCGGCCCAUUAGCUUGUUGGUGAGGUAACGGCNCACCAAGGCCGCGAUGGGUAGCUGGUCUGAGAGGACGAUCAGCCACACUGGGACUGAGACACGGCCCAGACUCCUACGGGAGGCAGCAGUGGGGAAUCUUGCGCAAUGCGCGAAAGCGUGACGCAGCAACGCCGCGUGGGGAAGAAGGCC